UGUGCGCUGCGCGCUGAGGUAGUUGGUUGUAUGGUUUCGAAUAAUAACCCCCCCGGAGAUAACUGUACAACCUUCUAGCUUUCCGCGCGGCGUCAC
Molecule: microRNA precursor, 96 nt
Organism: Lepisosteus oculatus (spotted gar)
Lineage: Eukaryota; Metazoa; Chordata; Actinopteri; Semionotiformes; Lepisosteidae
Source: Ensembl